GUGCUUGCUUCGGCAGCACCUAUCGUAAAACUGAAACAAUACAGAGAUGAUUACGGUGACCCCAGCGCAAGGAUGACAUGCAAAUUCGUGUAGUGUUAAGAAAUGCU
Small nuclear RNA from Pipistrellus kuhlii (Kuhl's pipistrelle), 107 nucleotides. The record is from RefSeq and is a predicted model, not a curated record. NCBI's taxonomy places the organism in Eukaryota, Metazoa, Chordata, Mammalia, Chiroptera, Vespertilionidae.